Molecule: ribosomal RNA, 393 nt
Filed under: uncultured bacterium
Lineage: Bacteria
Description: partial 16S ribosomal RNA
Rfam family: Bacterial small subunit ribosomal RNA
Source: RNAcentral
AUACGGAGGAUCCGAGCGUUAUCCGGAUUUAUUGGGUUUAAAGGGUGCGUAGGCGGGACUGUAAGUCAGGGGUGAAAUACUGCAGCUUAACUGUAGCAUUGCCUUUGAAACUGCCGUUCUUGAGUACAGUUGAGGUAGGCGGAAUGUGGUGUGUAGCGGUGAAAUGCAUAGAUAUACCACAGAACGCGGAUUGCGAAGGCAGCUUACUAAGCUGUUACUGACGCUGAGGCACGAAAGCGUGGGGAUCAAACAGGAUUAGAUACCCUGGUAGUCCACGCUGUAAACGAUGAUUACUGGUUGUUAGCGAUAUAUAGCUAGUGACUGAGCGAAAGCAUUAAGUAAUCCACCUGGGGAGUACGUCGGCAACGAUGAAACUCAAAUGAAUUGGCGGGG